Molecule: non-coding RNA, 78 nt
Organism: Armillaria borealis
Lineage: Eukaryota; Fungi; Basidiomycota; Agaricomycetes; Agaricales; Physalacriaceae
Source: the annotation of a GenBank genome assembly
UCUCUGAUAGUAUAUCGGUUAGUACACGCGCCUGUCACUAGGACGCGCGAAAGCUGGGUUCGACUCCCAGUCAGAGAG